Molecule: ribosomal RNA, 253 nt
Filed under: uncultured Bacillota bacterium
Lineage: Bacteria; Bacillati; Bacillota
Description: uncultured Firmicutes bacterium partial 16S ribosomal RNA
Rfam family: Bacterial small subunit ribosomal RNA
Source: RNAcentral
UACGUAGGUGGCGAGCGUUAUCCGGAAUGAUUGGGCGUAAAGGGUGCGCAGGCGGUCCUGCAAGUCUGGAGUGAAACGUAUGAGCUCAACUCAUGCAUGGCUCUGGAAACUGGAGGACUGGAGAGCAGGAGAGGGCGGUGGAACUCCAUGUGUAGCGGUAAAAUGCUUAGAUAUCAUGAAGAACUCCGAUCGCGAAGGCAAGUGUCCGGGGUGCAACUGACGCUGAGGCUCGAAAGUGCGGGUAUCAAACAGG